RNAcentral lists this ribosomal RNA (830 nucleotides) under Streptomyces sp. RNAcentral describes it as "bacterial SSU rRNA". It matches the Rfam family "Bacterial small subunit ribosomal RNA", at positions 36 to 873 of the family's 1533-position model. Lineage: Bacteria; Bacillati; Actinomycetota; Actinomycetes; Kitasatosporales; Streptomycetaceae. The record is from RNAcentral.
CAUGCCGGCCGGCUUACCAUGCAGUCGAACGAUGAACCACUUCGGUGGGGAUUAGUGGCGAACGGGUGAGUAACACGUGGGCAAUCUGCCCUGCACUCUGGGACAAGCCCUGGAAACGGGGUCUAAUACCGGAUACUGAUCCUCGCAGGCAUCUGCGAGGUUCGAAAGCUCCGGCGGUGCAGGAUGAGCCCGCGGCCUAUCAGCUUGUUGGUGAGGUAACGGCUCACCAAGGCGACGACGGGUAGCCGGCCUGAGAGGGCGACCGGCCACACUGGGACUGAGACACGGCCCAGACUCCUACGGGAGGCAGCAGUGGGGAAUAUUGCACAAUGGGCGAAAGCCUGAUGCAGCGACGCCGCGUGAGGGAUGACGGCCUUCGGGUUGUAAACCUCUUUCAGCAGGGAAGAAGCGAAAGUGACGGUACCUGCAGAAGAAGCGCCGGCUAACUACGUGCCAGCAGCCGCGGUAAUACGUAGGGCGCAAGCGUUGUCCGGAAUUAUUGGGCGUAAAGAGCUCGUAGGCGGCUUGUCACGUCGGUUGUGAAAGCCCGGGGCUUAACCCCGGGUCUGCAGUCGAUACGGGCAGGCUAGAGUUCGGUAGGGGAGAUCGGAAUUCCUGGUGUAGCGGUGAAAUGCGCAGAUAUCAGGAGGAACACCGGUGGCGAAGGCGGAUCUCUGGGCCGAUACUGACGCUGAGGAGCGAAAGCGUGGGGAGCGAACAGGAUUAGAUACCCUGGGUAGUCCACGCCGUAAACGGUGGGCACUAGGUGUGGGCACAUUUCCACGUUUGUCCGUGCCGCAGCUUAACGCAUUAAAGUUGCCCCCGCCCUU